RNAcentral lists this long non-coding RNA (249 nucleotides) under Pelobates cultripes (western spadefoot toad). Lineage: Eukaryota; Metazoa; Chordata; Amphibia; Anura; Pelobatidae. The record is from RNAcentral.
AUGAUAGUUCUUCGCGAACCUCCGUCAUCACCGGGACGGGUUGGUCGUAAGUAGGUCUGUGGCGUAGGUAUUUCGCCUUGAGACGUUGCAUGGCCCUGUAGUGGAGGGGACCCGGAAAUAUGGCUUGAAUGGAGGCAGAGAGGAGUCCUACAAUCCUGGCCAGGUUGCGUAGUGGAAUGGAAUCGAGAUGGAGAACCCUGCGAAUCUCCUUGCGAAUGGCUGUGAUCUUUGAGGCUGGUAGUCUCAGAG